UCCGAAAAGAGCAAACCCGUAGUAAUGCGGGGACGCAAAACCAUGGAUCCUUCAUCAAAGGACUGCCAGGUUGCCGAAG
Pelobacter sp. is the source of this 79-nucleotide regulatory RNA element. It matches the Rfam family "c-di-GMP-I-GGC riboswitch aptamer". Lineage: Bacteria; Pseudomonadati; Thermodesulfobacteriota; Desulfuromonadia; Desulfuromonadales; Desulfuromonadaceae. The record is from Rfam.